CCGAGUUAUUACUCCAAACCCUUUGUGAACCUUACCAUUUUGUUGCUCGGCGUACCGCGGGCCGCGGCUUCGGCCCGUCCCGCAGCGCGCCAGAGGACCCAACUCUUCAAUUUAUAGCGUACCUUCUGAUUUACAAAACAAACAAGUUAAAACUUUCAACAACGGAUCUCUUGGUUCUGGCAUCGAUGAAGAACGCAGCGAAAUGCGAUAAGUAAUGUGAAUUGCAGAAUUCAGUGAAUCAUCGAAUCUUUGAACGCACAUUGCGCCCGGCAGUAAUCUGCCGGGCAUGCCUGUCCGAGCGUCAUUUCACCCCUCGAGCCGCUUUUAGUGGAUCGGUGUUGGGGCACUACGGUAAAACGUAGGCCCCGAAAUGAAGUGGCGGUCCCGCCGCGGUGCCCCCAUGCGUAGUAACGUUUAGUCUCGCAUCGGGUCCCGGCGGAGGCCUGCCGUCAAGCCUUUUAUUCUCAGAAUAG
RNAcentral lists this unclassified non-coding RNA (473 nucleotides) under uncultured Ascomycota. RNAcentral's name for it is "sequence contains ITS1, 5.8S rRNA gene, ITS2". The stretch from base 151 to 304 matches the Rfam family "5.8S ribosomal RNA". The record is from RNAcentral. Lineage: Eukaryota; Fungi; Ascomycota.